Molecule: ribosomal RNA, 497 nt
Filed under: uncultured bacterium
Lineage: Bacteria
Description: partial 16S ribosomal RNA
Rfam family: Bacterial small subunit ribosomal RNA
Source: RNAcentral
GAUGAACGCUGGCGGCGUGCCUAAUACAUGCAAGUCGAGCGAACAGACGAGGAGCUUGCUCCUCUGACGUUAGCGGCGGACGGGUGAGUAACACGUGGAUAACCUACCUAUAAGACUGGGAUAACUUCGGGAAACCGGAGCUAAUACCGGAUAAUAUAUUGAACCGCAGGGUUCAAUAGUGAAAGACGGUUUUGCUGUCACUUAUAGAUGGAUCCGCGCCGCAUUAGCUAGUUGGUAAGGUAACGGCUUACCAAGGCAACGAUGCGUAGCCGACCUGAGAGGGUGAUCGGCCACACUGGAACGGAGACACGGUCCAGACUCCUACGGGAGGGACCAGUAGGGAAUCUUCCGCAGUGGGCGAAAGCCUGACGGAGCAACGCCGCGUGAAUGAUGAAGGUCUUCCGAUCGUAAAACUCUGUUAUUAGGGAAAAACAAAUGUGUAAGUAACUAUGCACGUCUUGACGGUACCUAAUCAGAAAGCCACGGCUAACUACGUG